GCGGGGGCUGCGGAGUGCUCCCUCCAAGACCGGUUGCACCCCGCUUUCCUGGCCAGGACUCUGGGCGCGGCAGCUACAAAGACGACGCCGGCUGCGCUCGCGGGACCAGAGGGAGGGAGGCUGCGGACGAGUGCGGGGAGGAGUUUGAGAUGGGAGGCGCUUGCAGGGGCUCCCCCAGUUCUGCGCUGUGAGCCGGGGCACAAAGAGCCCUCUGCACUAGCGCCGCAGGACCGCGGACCCGAGUUGGAGGCAUCUGUCCACCCAUGUGGUUCCAGACACGUUCAUGUGGCCACCAUGACCCCGUCGGCAUCACAGGGGUAACCAAGGUGAUCCUCCCUCUCUUCCUGUGUCCACUGGGGAUGGUAGAGACCAGCUUAAUGCUUUGAGAUCAGAUCCAUCACGAAAUCCGUAUGUCCUGAGACCUCCUGAAUCUUAAGAGAGCAGCAAGUUCCUGGGACAGAGGAGACAGAAGGGAAUUUCCAGGUUCUUCAGGACGUUCACAACCACACUGAGAAGCAUCUUUGCAGAUAAGUAUUUAAACUUACCAGCCCAUAGCCUACCAGCCUGCCCUCUUCUGGUCUGUGCAGGAAAGUGUAGUAUCCUAGAAUGCCAAAGUGGGAGGGGAAAUGGGUGAUGUAGCUCAUUCUCUUUUCUACCUCUAUGGAAGAAAGAAAGAGCCUGUCCCCAUUUUGUGGGGUCCCAGAAAGGGUGAUUUUCACACUUCACAUUUGGCGUUAGGGCUAGUAUUUCACAAACAUUACCGUCUGGAACUUUUGAAGGCUGAGUUAAAUGACUUCAUCUUGUGUACUUGUAGAACUGCUAUUAGAAGGAGGCUGGGGACUCCCUGAUGAUGUGAACCAGCCCUUCUCUUCUCAGUUUCAGCACUUUGUGAUCAUAUUUAUAAACCUUGGACAGGGCUCCUUGGCCUUAGAGUUAAGUGAAGAGUUAACACUGUGACUUUAGAUGCAUUUUUCUCAGUGUAAGUGUCUGAGCUCAUCUCCAGUUCUGGACUCGUGCCCCCACUCCCGGGUGCUGACAGCAAGCUCUGAAGAUAUGCUGAGAGAGCUCCCUGACUCUCCUGACUCAGGUCUGCCAGUUGAUGAAGACAGCACAGUUGUUACCAAAAACAAAACCUGGCAGAUGGUCCUAGGUCAGGAUUAGUGGUCAUUCUCUGGUCUUCUCCAGACUGGUGACACAGGGUGGUCUUAAAAGAGUCCUAGUCCAGCCUCUGGCUCCCCGAAUUUCCUCUGGUGCAUGGGGCAUCAGGAAAGGGCAGGGGAGAAGGAGGGGGAGCAGAAAAAUAACUGAGGCUGGGCAGAAGGGUCCCUUCCAUUUCCCAUCCAUUGCUUCAAACAAUGGGUGAUUACCGUGCACCUUGAGUGAAUGUCAAGGCAGGAAGGGUUCCAGGGCCACCCAGUGUGGCAGGAGCAGAGCUGGGAUCAGAAUUCUGGAUUCCUGACUCUCCGUUCAGCUGCUAUUCAGCUAUCACCAAGCUGCUGAGUUUGUCCUACUUUCUCCUGGGUCACAUUCUGCUGUUGUUGGGAAACAGGGAGUGAGUGAAGGGAACCUGGGAACCCUUCUCCCCUCACCUUUUAAGGAUGUUCUGGGGUGGAAUAAAGAGAGGUGGAGGGUGGGGUGCCUGGGCCCAGCCUCCCUGGCUCCUGGUCCUUCUUUCUUCAGCAGGGAGUUCUGGCAAGGCCUGGGCCUGGGGAGGGGGCCUGGGUGCAGUUUUCUCCUGCGGUGUGGUUGGCUCUUUUGUCUUCCAGGAUGGGCCUGUGGGGUCUGUGUGGGGAAGGAAGGAGCUGGGAGCCUGGGCUGCCUGUGUGUCGGCUGGAUGCUGCCAGCACCGGCAUGGACCAAGCAACUUCUCUGAGCCAGAUGCUGGGGACGCAGAGGUGAACCCAGAGACAUGAUCCCAUCUGCUCAGAUCUUCAUGUCAGAACACGCUUUAUUACAGUCUCGGCAAGGGGGUGGCUCCAUCUGGGCCGCAUCUCCAGGACUCCUGGCCUGGACUUCUCUUUGGACCUCGGGUGACCUUGGAUUCUGGCCACAGUGACUUAGCGGUCAGACUCCGGUGGUUUUCUAGCCCGCUGGGUGACUCCCUGAAGAUCUCAUCCUCUUCACACCUGUUGGGAUGGAGCCUCCCAUGGAUAGGAACUCUUCCUGGUUGAUGCUCAGCAGAUGACUGAUCUGGCUCUGGAGGACAGCUCCAGGGAAUGCGGAGUGGUGUGUACUAUUCAUCAGCUUGGGCUGCCACAGCACCAUGCCAGACUGGAUGGCUUAAACAUCAGGAAUUUAUUUUCUGCCAGUUCUGGAGGCUGGAAAGUCCAGAUCAAGGUGUUAAGACUUGGUUUCUGGUGAGGCCUCUCUCCUUGGCUUGCAGGUGGCACCUUCUCACUAUGUCCUCACAUGGCCUUUUCUCUGUGGAGAGGGACAGAGAGCAUGAGCAGGCUCUGGUGUCUCCUCCUCUUCUUAUAAAGACACUAAUAUCACCAUAUUAGGGCUUAAACCUAUGACCUCAUUUAACCUUAACCCCUUAAAGGUCCCAUCUCCAAAAACAGUCACAUAGCAGGCUACUGCUUCAACAUAUGCAUUUGGGGGAGGGGACACCAUUCAGUUCUUAACAGGGUGGUCACCGCAAACAUGGAAAGUCAGAGCCUUCUCCCCUUCAGAAUUCCCGCCCCCACCCAGGGAUGGGGAGGAGGAGCAGAGAGGUAUGGGAAGCAGACACGGAGAGUGGCAGGUACCAUGCUGGGGUGGCUCAGGAGUGCUUCGGAGGACAUAUGGAACUGGCAGGGCUCAGUGCAGGGAGGCGGAGGCCCUGGGAGAGCCGUGUCCUGAGAAGGGCCUGGGCUACAACCCUGGGCAAGUUACUUCACCUCUGAGCCUCCGAUGCUCUGUGAAAUGGAAGGAAUGUGCUUGCCUGUCAGGUGCAGGGAGAAUUCAGUGAGAUUGUGUGCCUAGCACAGUGCCUGACUCCCAGUAGGUGCUCAGCAAAUGCUCCCAUCCAUCUGGGAGUAUAGACUUAGGGUUUAUCUAUUUUUUUUUUUUUUUGGCUCUCUGGACUUUAAAACUCAGCAUCUUCUGAACCAGAGGCAUUUCUGAUUAGCCCUUCCCUACCUAUUUUCCUAGUAUCACUCUUUAAUCAGCUUGGGGAGGUGGCAGCAUUUCAUGGCCUCCGUAGUAACUCACAAUGCUUCCUGGGGUAUUUAAAUUCUACUCUCUCAUCAGCACUGAGCACCUACUUUGGGCCCUUUCCCGUGCUAGCCAUUUGGGGGAAAUAUAGGUGAAGAGUGGCUGGGGUUUGAACCUUUAGGAUUUCACAGCCAUGCUGGAUGGGAUAAAACCAGCUCACAUGGAGAAUCAGAGAAUGGGACAGUGCCACAAAACAGUCUACUGAGGCACAAGUUCUGAGUGCCUGGGAAGUGGUAGAGAGACCCCAGAGAGGGCUGCUGCAGUCUGGAACAGCUUCCUAGCAAGCUGUACCAAACAGGGCCUUGAAGGAUGAGAAAGAUCUGGCUGAGAUGAUACCCGACCCUCUAGGGAAAUUCUUAAAGUAACUUCUAGGAAAUGUCAUUGCUCCUUAAAAAAAAAAAAAAAAAAAAAAAAGCAGGUUCUAAUUCAAAUUCCGCUGCACUACUGAAGUAGUGCAGGACUUAUCAGAACCUUUAAAAUGCUAAUGGCAAUUUCAAAUACUCAGGGACAGGGCAUAGGAUGAAGUGUUCCUUGACUUUUAUGGCCGUAGAAUCUUUUUCUCAUGGAACAUCGUUUAGAACUGUGGGAGAUGCUAGGCUGGGGUUUCUAUGGGAAAAGUACAGCAGUGAUAGAAGAUGGCAUAAUUAGGGUACACUUAGGUGCUUUGUAGCAUUGGCUGAAAAGGAAGCAGACCGGGUGGGCGUGGGGGAGUCUCAACUUGGUUCCAGGAGCCAGGCCAGCUUGAUGCGUUUUUUUUUUUUCUAAUGGUGGGAGGGCAGGCCAAUAGUUGGAGAAACUAGAGGCCUGACAGUCGGUGAUGGAAGAGAUGUCUACUAAGCACGGUUGUCAGAUCUUUUGCGGAGAGAUGCGGGUGUGCGUGUGUCUGUCAGAGUGUAACAGGAUCCAGCCCUCUGGGAAGGGGCUGACCAGAACCAGGCAGGGGGUUUCUGUCUAGGACAAGUAGGGUCCAUUUUCAGGGGAGCUGAAAUAUUUGCAGGGGGUGCUCUGAGACCCACAGCCAAUAAAUAGGGAAGCAACAUGCUUUUGGGCAGGGUCCAUGUGGUUAGGGUUGAUUUUGAUGGGGCUGGGGGGCUUAGAGUUAGACCCCCUGCCCUGGUCAGGCCCCACUCCCUGGCUGGUGGGGGCGGGAGGCCUCUGAAGCUGCAGCUGGAGGGGCCGGGGCAGUGUUGCAUGGUGUGAUUAACCUACUAACCCAGGGCUCAGCCGGGACGCUGUGGCGUGUGACGAGGUGCCUGGCCUUCUGCCAACCAACUAACCCACUAACCAGGCCCGAGCAUGCCCUACUAACCACCCCCCCGCAGCCAGAUCCUACUAACUGUGCAGCUCAUGGGCCUUUCAAGGGGCUGGGAUAUGGGGGCAGCCAAGGCUCCAGAAGGCUCUGCCUAUGGGCUGGGAUCUUUGUGCAGACCCACGUUCCAGGACAGAGAAUGCAAAUAAGACUCACCAACUCUGCCACUUCCUGUUGAGUGAGUUUGAGUAAGUCACCUCACUUCUCUCAACCUCAGUUUCCUCAGUGGUAGAAUGCGAGUUCUGAUACCUUACAGGAAGGCCCCUCAAACCUGGUUGAA
Molecule: long non-coding RNA, 4784 nt
Filed under: Homo sapiens (human)
Lineage: Eukaryota; Metazoa; Chordata; Mammalia; Primates; Hominidae
Description: HSALNT0276350
Rfam family: Myocardial infarction associated transcript exon 5 conserved region 1 (bases 4385-4533)
Source: RNAcentral